Molecule: ribosomal RNA, 468 nt
Filed under: uncultured bacterium
Lineage: Bacteria
Description: partial 16S ribosomal RNA
Rfam family: Bacterial small subunit ribosomal RNA
Source: RNAcentral
GACGAACGCUGGCGGCGUGCUUAACACAUGCAAGUCGAACGGAAAGGCCCUGCUUUUGUGGGGUGCUCGAGUGGCGAACGGGUGAGUAACACGUGAGUAACCUGCCCUUGACUUUGGGAUAACUUCAGGAAACUGGGGCUAAUACCGGAUAGGAGCUCCUGCUGCAUGGUGUGGGUUGGAAAGUUUCGGCGGUUGGGGAUGGGCUCGCGGCUUAUCAGCUUGUUGGUGGGGUAGUGGCUUACCAAGGCUUUGACGGGUAGCCGGCCUGAGAGGGUGACCGGCCACAUUGGGACUGAGAUACGGCCCAGACUCCUACGGGAGGCAGCAGUGGGGAAUAUUGCACAAUGGGCGGAAGCCUGAUGCAGCAACGCCGCGUGCGGGAUGACGGCCUUCGGGUUGUAAACCGCUUUCGCCUGUGACGAAGCGUGAGUGACGGUAAUGGGUAAAGAAGCACCGGCUAACUACGUG